RNAcentral lists this ribosomal RNA (300 nucleotides) under uncultured bacterium. RNAcentral describes it as "bacterial SSU rRNA". It matches the Rfam family "Bacterial small subunit ribosomal RNA", at positions 355 to 679 of the family's 1533-position model. The record is from RNAcentral.
UGGGGAAUUUUGCGCAAUGGGCGAAAGCCUGACGCAGCGACGCCGCGUGAGUGACGAAGGCCUUCGGGUUGUAAAGCUCUGUUGAGGGGGAAGCGGUACCCCUUAAGAAAGCCCCGGCUAACUACGUGCCAGCAGCCGCGGUAAGACGUAGGGGGCGAGCGUUGUCCGGAAUUACUGGGUGUAAAGGGCGUGUAGGCGGCUAAGUAAGUCAGCUGUGAAAUUCCCCGGCUCAACUGGGGGCCUGCAGUUGAAACUACUUAGUUUGAGUGCAGGAGAGGAAGGUGGAAUUCCCAGUGUAGC